Molecule: long non-coding RNA, 442 nt
Organism: Phacochoerus africanus (Common warthog)
Lineage: Eukaryota; Metazoa; Chordata; Mammalia; Artiodactyla; Suidae
Exons: 3
Source: RefSeq, a predicted model, not a curated record
GGAAAGGCCACAAGAGGCUGUCACUCCCCUCUCAGUGGGAAAUUUCCUGCCAGGGGAGGAGAGACUUCAAGAAUCUUGAUUUCUGCUGAGAGACAACCGUAGAAGAGAAACCUACACAGGGCACCAAAUCCGGCCUGGUGGUAGAGGGACAGAUGAAAUUUAUCUUUCAAGGUCACUUCCACCUCUGUGUCCCCAGGGAGAUGAAUUCAAUUCAGCAAUUAUUUAGUCUUCACAGCCUAUGCUCUGCAAGGAUUAGAGAAGCCUCUGGGCUCUGUGUCACCCUCCCACAGAUGAGGAUGCCAAGGCCUAAAGUAGCGAAAUAGCUCAUCUGUUCAGUCAGCAGAUACGCAUCAUGGUGAACUGGGAAAACAGCGGGGAGCAGAUCACUUAGAAAAUAACGUAAUGGGGAGUUCCUGGCAUGGCGCAGCGGAAACAAAUCCGA